Molecule: transfer RNA, 71 nt
Organism: Loxodonta africana (African savanna elephant)
Lineage: Eukaryota; Metazoa; Chordata; Mammalia; Proboscidea; Elephantidae
Rfam family: tRNA
About the family: Transfer RNA (tRNA) molecules are approximately 80 nucleotides in length.
Source: Rfam
GCAGUGGUGGUUCAGCCGUAGAAUCCUUGCCUUCCGUGCAGGAGACCCAGGUUUGAAUCCCGGCCAGUUCA